GAUGAAGAACGCAGCGAAAUGCGAUAAGUAGUGUGAAUUGCAGAAUUCCGUGAAUCAUCGAAUCUUUGAACGCACAUUGCGCCCCCUGGUAUUCCGGGGGGCAUGCCUGUUCGAGCGUCAUUUCACCACUCAAGCCUCGCUUGGUAUUGGGCAACGCGGUCCGCCGCGUGCCUCAAAUCGACCGGCUGGGUCUUCUGUCCCCUAAGCGUUGUGGAAACUUUCGCUAAAGGGUGUUCGGGAGGCUACGCCGUAAAACAACCCCAUUUCUAAGGUUGACCUCGGAUCAGGUAGGGAUACCCGCUGAACUUAAGCAUAUCAAUAAGCGGAGGA
RNAcentral lists this unclassified non-coding RNA (330 nucleotides) under soil metagenome. RNAcentral's name for it is "partial contains 5.8S ribosomal RNA, internal transcribed spacer 2, and large subunit ribosomal RNA". The stretch from base 1 to 120 matches the Rfam family "5.8S ribosomal RNA", at positions 35 to 154 of the family's 154-position model. The record is from RNAcentral.